Molecule: RNA transcript, 2243 nt
Organism: Oryza sativa Japonica Group (Japanese rice)
Lineage: Eukaryota; Viridiplantae; Streptophyta; Magnoliopsida; Poales; Poaceae
Source: RefSeq, a predicted model, not a curated record
AUGGUGAGAAAAUGCAAAAAUAUACCAAUUCCACGUGAGAGGAACGUGGGGACACACAACGCGGUGCGGACUGCGGAGAGGGGACCAACAGCUGGACCAUUCCUGUGGCAUGGGAGGGAGCGUGGAACAGCUGUAUGGUCCGACGGCGUGGGCGGGCGGCACCGCCAUGUCCACGUGAUCAGAGCCGUUCUUUCCCACGCGUGGACAAAAUCUGGCCGUUCGUUUCCUAGGUGGUUCCGUCCUUACCUGGUCGUGGAAUCCACGACGCCCUCCCCGAUCCCCUUUCGCUCCCCCUUCCGAUCGGCGAUUCGGCGGCGGCGUUGGAGCCGUCGCCGGUUCCCCGCCCCCCCUUCUUCUCCCUUCCCUCACGGCGGAAUCGGGGCGGAUGGCGCGUUCGAGCCGACGCCGUUGUCUUCCCUCCCCCUUUUUCUCCCUCUCCUCUCCCUCCUACCUCACCUUGUGGCAGCGCCGCUGGGGGCAGGACGGAUGAGGCGCCCGUCGGAGCCGGCCCAGGUGCUCCCUUCCUCCUUCUCCCUUCACUUGCGCCGGCGGCGGCGGUUGCGACGAGGGAGGACAGAUGCGGCGCCCGUCGUUGGUGUUGCCGCCGACCCGCCGUGUCCCCUCCCUUCUUCUCCCUCCCCUUCUGGCAGCGGCGGCGAGGGACCUGCAGUGGCGGCAGCCUUCUUCGCUCGUCUCUCUCCUAUCCGUCCCCUGCGUCGUCGUCCUCCGGCCACCGCCGUCCUCUGCCAGCAGCUCCUCCGGCCCCCUCCACUCUGCCCAUCCACUCCACUCUUCCCUCCUACCCAAAUCUACGGCGCCGCUCCGUGGUCGGCAGCUCAAUUCCUCGCCGGAUCUGACAGUUUGACUGGUGGAGAAAGAAGAAGCGGGCUGCCCGCGAGGAUGGAGGAAGCGGAUUGGCAGAAGUUGGCCGUUGAGAUCUCCGUCAAACCUGUCCCCUUCAAGCAUCCGGGUCCGACAUCCUCCGCGCAUGGUCUGUGACAGCUUGGUAUAAUGAAGAAUUAGAAAGGAUUCAGUUCUCUCCUUCCUGUUCUAUUCUUUCAGCAAUGGUUCAGGUCAACAAAAAAAUUUUGGUCGAGUUAAGCAACAAAGGUUCAGUUCUUAUCCUUCCAGUUCUCCUUCUGUCUUGAAUGUUCUUGAAGGAGCUAUAAGUGGAACAGAUACAUUGAGAUCACUCCCAGUUGGAUCAUCAGCAGCAGGAAAGGUUCCGCCACUACCAGUUUUAUGAUCUUGUUUAUAAUGGGAUGGCUAUUUUUCUAUUUAUAGGUUGACAAGAAAUGUGCUCUUUUUUUAAUGGUGUAACAAUAAGUGAAGAACAAGCUCGGUCAGGCAUUGUAGUCAGAGACUCAGAGUCACCUCAGCCGCACAAAGUAAAUUUAAGAUAUGAGGUUGAUUAUUCCUUCGGUUGCUCUGGAAUUGAAGCUACUUUUCUUCGAACAAGAAAUUGAUGGAGGUUAUGGACUAGCUCUGCAGGCAUCCAAGCUGAGGUGAAUCACAUGAGACAAAAUGGCAGUCUUGCUUUCAAUGAAAGCCUUGUUGCUGGUAUAUUUCUUCAUUUUGCCGGUGCAAGACCCACACUGGUCUUCCAGACCAUGGAAUGGUAGUGCAUCAAUAGGGCUGCAGCAGGGUGACACACCAGCACCACGGUUAUUGGAUUCAGGAGUUUGCCAAGGAGCAGCAAUUAAAUGAUUAGCUUCCACCUUUAAUUUUGCUGGCAGGUAGUCUGUCGAGGGCUUCUUUUUUCCAGUUAUGGCAAUGUAGAGCACUUUUCAGAGUUUAAUAUGACACAAAGGCUUCAGGGAACAUAUAUAGUCAACUGCUUGGACCAAAGCUGCCAUUCAUACUGCUGUGCUUUUGUUGUGGAUUGAACUAGCAGGAGAGAAGAAUGCACAUGAACUUAUAAAUGGACCAUUUCCGGUAGCCACGAGUUCUCACUAGAAAAAGGCAGCUACUUUAUUUGUCCUGUAUAUUAGUGUGUUGUUUAUUAAUCAAUGUAAAUGAUCACUGACGGAGUACAUGUAUAUGUAUUAAUCACCUAAUCGUUCUGUAAUAUUUUCUGUUUAAUUUUUUUUGCUGCGCGGCGUAGCGCACAAACCCUUUCUAGUACUAGAGCCUGGGGCGCGCCUAUUGCGCGCCUCUUGUAAGCAGUUCGGUUUAAUUAAUUGUCUACAACAGAAUUUUACAUGCAAAAGUCUAAAGGAUAACAGCUAGCUUGUAUGGGGAAA